Molecule: ribosomal RNA, 305 nt
Filed under: uncultured bacterium
Lineage: Bacteria
Description: partial 16S ribosomal RNA
Rfam family: Bacterial small subunit ribosomal RNA
Source: RNAcentral
AUGGCCUACGGGGGGCAGCAGUGGGGGAUAUUGCACAAUGGGGGGAACCCUGAUGCAGCGACGCCGCGUGGGUGAAGGAGCGUUUCGGCGCGUAAAGCCCUAUCGGCAGGGAAGAAGGAGGACGGUACCUGACUAAGAAGCCCCGGCUAACUACGUGCCAGCAGCCGCGGUAAUACGUAGGGGGCAAGCGUUAUCCGGAUUUACUGGGUGUAAAGGGGGCGCAGGCGGCAUAAUAAGUUAGAAGUGAAAUACCCAGAGCUUAACUCGGGUGCUGCUUCUAAGACUGUUGAGCUUGAGUGCGGGAG